This 1142-nucleotide long non-coding RNA is filed under the name Ursus maritimus (polar bear). RNAcentral's name for it is "lncRNA (ENSUMAG00000010135.1)". The record is from RNAcentral. Lineage: Eukaryota; Metazoa; Chordata; Mammalia; Carnivora; Ursidae.
CACGUACCCCCUUAAUCCCCCCAAACACACACACACGCCCCAACAACGAGAAACCGCCUCCAGCUCACGAUCGUUGGGCGGGCUUCAAGGUUUUCAAGGUUUUCUAAACACUAUUGGCCUGAGUGACUGACAAUCACACAGUUCAAAAGAAAGGAUUGGUCCAAAGGGUCCAAAGGGUAGCGGUGAGGUUUGCGCAGCCCUGCCCUUGCACAAUUAUUAUUGGCUGAUACAGUCUCAGUCAGCAUGCAAUGCGAUGGGAUUGGUAACAAUUCGAUACGUUCCGUCGCCCGACCAGGGGGAGCUUUAUUCGUCUGAUUAGCUGCCAGUCAUAACCAAAUGCCAGAAGCAAUUGGUUCGGGACAACACAGGCCUCGCCUACCAUAAGCCCCCUUUCUUUCCUUCACUUCCCCUUUCAGAGAAUGUCCGGAUUCCUAUUGGACUUUGGAGCGCAGGGCUCCAAAGCACUUGAUUGGCUGGAACCCGAUGGAAAAUGGUGGUUAGGUAAAAUGCGCGUGCGCAGCAGGCGGCGGGAAGGGGUGGGCCAAUCCUGUGAGGGUUAAGCCUUCUCUGGUUCCACCCCUUCACCUCUGCCUUGUAGCCAUGGUGACUGCUCUACGAUUGGCGGGGUUUGGGGUUCAAAGGCCUUGGCUCGGCCUCAUCCGGGUCCUCCGGCUGUGGUCUCUCUAGGCUGAUUGGGCAGUUUCUUUCACCCCUGAUUGGCCGAGACCGGAAAAGACGGCGAAGAGCUCGUCAAGAGACCAAAUACUAGGGUCGCAGGGUUCAAAAUGGCUCCGGUCUCCUUCGCUGACGUAGAGAGCAGAACUUGGGUUCGCCCCUCCCUUUCAGUGAAGAAGGGAGCAGAACUGGGAUCAGCUCGACAUUUGGAUGGUGCGAGCAUCGAUCUGCGGCGCUGGUGUUAACCCAUCUCCCUCGGCUGGAGGAGUCAGCCCGCUCCUCCUUAGGAAGAGGAGAGCUGAUGAAGAAGGAAUGGGCCAAGCAAGGGACACACAAGCCAUGUGUGCUGAAAGGGAGUUGGAAGAAAAAAAGAUGCAGCUGGAGCCAGAGAAGGCCAGAGACGGAGGCAAGAGCCCAACCCAGCUCUCGCGGGGCGGAGCUACCAAGAGGAGACUGGUCGCUGCGGG